This 254-nucleotide long non-coding RNA is filed under the name Elaeis guineensis (African oil palm). RNAcentral describes it as "long non-coding RNA (EGUI_LNC075698)". Lineage: Eukaryota; Viridiplantae; Streptophyta; Magnoliopsida; Arecales; Arecaceae. The record is from RNAcentral.
AAGUGCCACAAUCGAUGCAAGUCUUGCUGAUCCUAUGCUGUAGCCACCGUAUCGGAAUCUCUGAUCACCAUUGAACCUUCCAGUCUAUAAAGGUUAUUCUCUAUCCUUCUUUCCCUCAUGGGAGAUAUUUAGUACUCCACCCUUGGUAUGACUUCUAAAGCUGCAACUGUUCCACUCCAAAUAGCCAAGUAACACCAAGUUCUUCUUCAAUUUCAGGACGUGCUUCAUAUUAGUGAGGGCUACACCAUCCCAUC